RNAcentral lists this ribosomal RNA (250 nucleotides) under uncultured Nitzschia. RNAcentral describes it as "partial Bacterial large subunit ribosomal RNA". It matches the Rfam family "Bacterial large subunit ribosomal RNA", at positions 2249 to 2498 of the family's 2925-position model. Lineage: Eukaryota; Bacillariophyta; Bacillariophyceae; Bacillariales; Bacillariaceae. The record is from RNAcentral.
GGACCCUCUGUGGCGGGUAGUUUGACUGGGGCGGUCGCCUCCUAAAGCGUAACGGAGGCGCGCGAAGGUUGGCUCAGAGCGGUCGGAAAUCGCUCGUUGAGUGCAAUGGCAUAAGCCAGCCUGACUGUGAGACUGACAGGUCGAACAGAGUCGAAAGACGGCCAUAGUGAUCCGGUGGUCCCGAGUGGAAGGGCCAUCGCUCAACGGAUAAAAGGUACGCCGGGGAUAACAGGCUGAUGAUGCCCAAGAG